UACGUAGGGGGCAAGCGUUGUCCGGAAUUAUUGGGCGUAAAGAGCGUGUAGGCGGUCCGGUAAGUCAGCUGUGAAAGUCAAGGGCUCAACCCUUGAAAGCCGGUUGAUACUGUCGAGCUCGAGUCCGGAAGAGGCGAGUGGAAUUCCUGGUGUAGCGGUGAAAUGCGCAGAUAUCAGGAGGAACACCAAUGGCGAAGGCAGCUCGCUGGGACGGUACUGACGCUGAGACGCGAAAGCGUGGGGAGCAAACAGG
This 253-nucleotide ribosomal RNA is filed under the name uncultured bacterium. RNAcentral's name for it is "partial 16S ribosomal RNA". It matches the Rfam family "Bacterial small subunit ribosomal RNA", at positions 524 to 776 of the family's 1533-position model. The record is from RNAcentral.